RNAcentral lists this ribosomal RNA (476 nucleotides) under Diehliomyces microsporus. Its description in RNAcentral is "partial 5.8S ribosomal RNA". The stretch from base 309 to 467 matches the Rfam family "5.8S ribosomal RNA". The record is from RNAcentral. Lineage: Eukaryota; Fungi; Ascomycota; Pezizomycetes; Pezizales; Pyronemataceae.
UCCGUAGGUGAACCUGCGGAAGGAUCAUUAAAUGUAAAGGAUGUAUUUGUACAAACAAAUUACUUCUUUUUCAAACCCCCUACUGUGUAUCUUGACCUGUUGCUUCCGUGGCAUUUUUUUUUUUUUUUUAAAUUUUCAAAAAAAAAAUUAAAAAAAAAAAAAAAAAAACCACGAGAGAAAGGAAGGAAGAUAUUUUUUUUUUUCUUCUCCUCCUCUCUCUUUAGUGGGCCACGGAAGGUAAUUGUUUAUUAAAAUCACUGUGUAAUUUAUUGUCUUUUAAUUAGAAAACUAAAAGAAACAAUUGUUAAAACUUUCAACAACGGAUCUCUUGGUUCUCGCAUCGAUGAAGGAACGCAGCAAAAUGCGAUAAGUAAUGUGAAUUGCAGAAUUCAGUGAAUCAUCGAAUCUUUGAACGCACAUUGCGCCUUUGGAACUUUUGUCCCAGAGGCAUGCCUGUUCGAGCGUCAUUGCAAACC